Molecule: ribosomal RNA, 216 nt
Filed under: Glomeromycotina sp.
Lineage: Eukaryota; Fungi; Glomeromycota
Description: partial small subunit ribosomal RNA
Rfam family: Eukaryotic small subunit ribosomal RNA (bases 40-216)
Source: RNAcentral
GGGUCAGUAGGUUGGUCGUGCCACCGGUACGUACUGGUCUCACUGAUUCCUCCUUCCUGAAGAACCGUAAUGCCAUUAAUUUGGUGUUGCAGGGAAACGGGACUGUUACUUUGAAAAAAUUAGAGUGUUUAAAGCAAGCUAACGCUUGAAUACAUUAGCAUGGAAUAAUGAAAUAGGACGAUCGAUCCUAUUUUGUUGGUUUCUAGGAUUGACGUA